This 528-nucleotide long non-coding RNA is filed under the name Danio rerio (zebrafish). RNAcentral's name for it is "lncRNA si:dkey-256i11.4 (ENSDARG00000096098.2)". Lineage: Eukaryota; Metazoa; Chordata; Actinopteri; Cypriniformes; Danionidae. The record is from RNAcentral.
GGACAUUUCGCAAGGACCUGUACAGCUGUGUCGGGCCCGGAUUGUAAAUUGGCCCUAAUACCUGCAGGGAGCUUGUCACGCUGAGUUGGCUUUGUCCGCUCGAUUGACCAAUGCGUACGCCUUGUUUUAUCCUUGUUUUAUCCUUGAUUUGACGAAAAAAUUCCCUGCAAACCUUAAACGACAGACGUCUGCAAAAGAUUGCAGUUCUUGAAACAAAGUUACCUCUGAUCCGAGCAGAAGCGUUCGCUUACUCAAUGGCAGAAAAAAUGAUGACCUUUCACACAGUCUACAUUCGUUCUGUCAUAACAGCGGCAGGCCGGCAAAUAAAAUCCUGACAUUCCACAGGGCACACUCGCUUGGCGGAAAAAAGCCACCGGGGGCUCUCUUUGCGUGUUCCUUCACCUGGUCAAACCGCUUUGAGGGGGGACCUUUCGAGUAGUUUUCGGCGUCAGAACAGACUCUUCCAGCGACGGGUGGGCAGGCCUUCCACAGGCGCGCGCAGCUCUACUGGAGCAAAAGAGGCUUGGC